UACGUAGGGUGCAGGCGUUAAUCGGAAUUACUGGGCGUAAAGCGUGCGCAGGCGGUUUCUUAAGUCAGAUGUGAAAGCCCCGGGCUUAACCUGGGAACUGCGUUUGAAACUGGGAGACUUGAGUGUGGCAGAGGGGGGUGGAAUUCCACGUGUAGCAGUGAAAUGCGUAGAUAUGUGGAGGAAUACCGAUGGCGAAGGCAGCCUCCUGGGCCAACACUGACGCUCAUGCACGAAAGCGUGGGGAGCAAACAGG
RNAcentral lists this ribosomal RNA (253 nucleotides) under uncultured bacterium. RNAcentral describes it as "partial 16S ribosomal RNA". It matches the Rfam family "Bacterial small subunit ribosomal RNA", at positions 524 to 776 of the family's 1533-position model. The record is from RNAcentral.